CAUUUAUGUCGGAUCCUCAGUGAAAAUAAAAGCCAUGAUAGUUCAACAUACAGAGAUUUCCAGCAAGCUCUCUAUGAGUUGUCAUAUCAUGUAAUUAAAGGAAAUCUAAAGCAUGAACAGGCAUCUAAUGUUCUUAGUGACAUUAGUGUAAGAAUUUCGUGAGGAUAUGCCCUCCAUUCUUGCUGAUGUAUUCUGCAUAUUAGACAUUGAGACAAAUUGUUUAGAAGAA
This 229-nucleotide long non-coding RNA is filed under the name Homo sapiens (human). RNAcentral describes it as "non-protein coding lnc-TENM1-9:1". Lineage: Eukaryota; Metazoa; Chordata; Mammalia; Primates; Hominidae. The record is from RNAcentral.